RNAcentral lists this long non-coding RNA (1116 nucleotides) under Apteryx haastii (Great spotted kiwi). RNAcentral's name for it is "lncRNA (ENSAHAG00000015047.1)". Lineage: Eukaryota; Metazoa; Chordata; Aves; Apterygiformes; Apterygidae. The record is from RNAcentral.
AUGCGUUUAGGGCUCACACUGCAUACCCAAUCCCUCUGCACGGAUUUCUCUUCACUCCUAGACAUCCCAUCCACCCCCUCAUUUCCUAAUGCCACUCAUUCUUCACCUGUACUGGUUUAUUUUACAUGUAUUCAGCCGUCCAUUCUGCAGGCCGGUGCGCGCAUGCCAACACCCAUGCCCCUUUCCAAGGCAUGGGGCAGCUCCAGCUGCACGUCCGCCCGGCACCGCUGUGCCGCCCCACAGACCUGCACCUCUCAGCGCAGGCCCCGGCUUCCCGCCUGCCGGGCUUCUCCACCUGUGAGGAAAGGCCCAGCUGGUGGGUGGGUUUCUCCCCGAGUCCUGGCAAGGAACAGCUUGCCAGGGGAGCUGCACAGGUUCGGGGAGCACCUGCUCCUGCAUGGGGAGGAGGGCAGCUCCCCAGCUUCUGAGGUGUCAGCAAUUGCCCCCUGCUCCCCAAGCACUUGCACCCCACUUCCAAUGCCCGACACUGGGCUGAAGAUGGUGACCUUCCCUCUGUUACUGCGCAGAGCUCUGAGCGUAAGGGCAGGAUGGGAGCUGGGAGGGAGCCUCCAGCAUCCUCACCCUCCCUUACUAAACCAGCUGUCCCUAAAAUGCUACAGAGCCCCCCCCUUCCCACCCCACUGGCAGCCCCCUACCUCCUUACUGAAGGCAGUCUUUUGGCUCUUCCUGAUGGCUCCCUGCCAGGUUACUGCCUCUGGGGCUCGUGGGAGUGCUCUGGGAUCCAGGACGGGUGCUUCCAGGGCCUUGGGAUCCAGGAUGGGUGCCUCCAGGGCACUGGGAACCCAGGCACAUGACUCCAGGGCCAUGAGAUGCAGGACAGGUGCUGCUAGGGCCUUGGGAUCCAGAACAGGUGCCUCCAGGGCACUGGAAAGCAGGACAGAUGCCUCCAGGGCCACGGGAUCCAGGACAGGUGCCUCUAGGGCCUUGCGAUCCCAGACAGGUGCCUCCAGGGCCUUCGGAUCCAGCCUUGGGAUCCAGGACAGGUGCUGCCAGGACCUCGGGUCCCUCAGAGGGACCGUGCCUGUGGCUGAGCUAAAAGCACGCCGAAGGCCAGCACAGGACAGGCAGUUUUGCCCCUCAGAAUUUGAAAAUUAG